RNAcentral lists this ribosomal RNA (248 nucleotides) under uncultured bacterium. RNAcentral describes it as "partial 16S ribosomal RNA". It matches the Rfam family "Bacterial small subunit ribosomal RNA", at positions 103 to 334 of the family's 1533-position model. The record is from RNAcentral.
CGGGUGCGUACACGUCGACCAACCUCGCCCGUCGGUGGUGGGGGAGUACGGCCGGGCUAACGCCCGGGUAAUACCGCAUACGGUCCUUUGGGGGAGUCCCUGGGGGAAGAAAGCCCGUGGCAACACGGGCGCACGGGGAGGGGGUCGCGGCCUAUCAGCUUGUUGGCGGGGUAAUGGCCCACCAAGGCGACGACGGGUAGCUGGUCUGAGAGGAUGGCCAGCCACAUUGGGACUGAGAGACGGCCCAG